GCCUCUUUGGCUUAGUGGCAGAGCGUUGGUCUCGUAAACCAAAGGUCGUGAGUUCGAUUCUCAUAAGGGGCA
Molecule: non-coding RNA, 72 nt
Organism: Drosophila willistoni
Lineage: Eukaryota; Metazoa; Arthropoda; Insecta; Diptera; Drosophilidae
Source: the annotation of a RefSeq genome assembly